CUUCGCCUGCCGGCGACCGGCGCACGGGUGAGUAACACGUAUGCGACCUGCCCCCGCAGGGGGAUAACCGGGAGAAAUCCCGACUAAUACAACAUAAUGCCGGGAGGGGACAUCCCCUGCCGGCCAAAGGGGGCGACCCCGGUCACGGAUGGGCAUGCGGCGCAUUAGGUAGUUGGUGGGGCAACGGCCCACCAAGCCGACGAUGCGUAGGGGUUCUGAGAGGAAGGUCCCCCACAUUGGAACUGAGACACGGUCCAAACUCCUACGGAAGGCAGCAG
Molecule: ribosomal RNA, 278 nt
Filed under: uncultured bacterium
Lineage: Bacteria
Description: partial 16S ribosomal RNA
Rfam family: Bacterial small subunit ribosomal RNA
Source: RNAcentral